This 557-nucleotide ribosomal RNA is filed under the name uncultured Alphaproteobacteria bacterium. RNAcentral's name for it is "bacterial SSU rRNA". It matches the Rfam family "Bacterial small subunit ribosomal RNA", at positions 102 to 694 of the family's 1533-position model. The record is from RNAcentral. Lineage: Bacteria; Pseudomonadati; Pseudomonadota; Alphaproteobacteria.
ACGGGUGAGUAACGCGUGGAUAUCUGCCUUUUGGUUCGGAAUAACCCCGGGAAACUGGGGCUAAUACCGGAUGGUUCCUUCGGGAUAAAGAUUUAUCGCCAAAAGAUGAGUCCGCGUACGAUUAGCUAGUUGGUGAGGUAAUGGCUCACCAAGGCGACGAUCGUUAGCUGGUCUGAGAGGACGAUCAGCCACACUGGGACUGAGACACGGCCCAGACUCCUACGGGAGGCAGCAGUGGGGAAUAUUGGACAAUGGGGGCAACCCUGAUCCAGCCAUGCCGCGUGAGUGAUGAAGGCCUUCGGGUUGUAAAGCUCUUUUGGCGGGGACGAUGAUGACGGUACCCGCAGAAUAAGCCCCGGCUAACUUCGUGCCAGCAGCCGCGGUAAGACGAAGGGGGCUAGCGUUGUUCGGAAUUACUGGGCGUAAAGCGAGUGUAGGUGGUUGUCCAAGUUGGAUGUGAAAGCCUUGAGCUCAACUCAAGAAAUGCAUUCAGGACUGGGUGACUAGAGGACCGGAGAGGAUAGUGGAAUUCCCAGUGUAGUGGUGAAAUACGUAGA